UACAGAGGGUGCGAGCGUUGUUCGGAAUUAUUGGGCGUAAAGGGCGCGUAGGCGGUGCGGUAAGUCACCUGUGAAAUCUCCUGGCUCAACUGGGAGUCUGCAGGCGAAACUGCCGUGCUGGAGUGUGGGAGAGGUGAGUGGAAUUCCCGGUGUAGCGGUGAAAUGCGCGGAUAUCAGGAAGAACACCCGUGGCGAAGGCGGCUCUCUGGGACGUGACUGACGCUGAGACGCGAAAGCGUGGGGAGCAAACAGG
RNAcentral lists this ribosomal RNA (253 nucleotides) under uncultured bacterium. RNAcentral describes it as "partial 16S ribosomal RNA". It matches the Rfam family "Bacterial small subunit ribosomal RNA", at positions 524 to 776 of the family's 1533-position model. The record is from RNAcentral.